RNAcentral lists this ribosomal RNA (253 nucleotides) under uncultured bacterium. RNAcentral's name for it is "partial 16S ribosomal RNA". It matches the Rfam family "Bacterial small subunit ribosomal RNA", at positions 524 to 776 of the family's 1533-position model. The record is from RNAcentral.
UACGGGGGGGGCAAGCGUUGUUCGGAAUUACUGGGCGUAAAGGGCUCGUAGGCGGCCAACUAAGUCGGAUGUGAAAUCCCCAGGCUUAACCUGGGAACUGCAUCCGAUACUGGAUGGCUUGAAUCCGGGAGAGGGAUGCAGAAUUCCAGGUGUAGCGGUGAAAUGCGUAGAUAUCAGGAGGAACACCAAUUGCGAAGGCAGCUCGCUGGGACGGUACUGACGCUAAGGCGCGAAAGCGUGGGGAGCGAACAGG